Molecule: unclassified non-coding RNA, 253 nt
Filed under: uncultured Caulobacteraceae bacterium
Lineage: Bacteria; Pseudomonadati; Pseudomonadota; Alphaproteobacteria; Caulobacterales; Caulobacteraceae
Description: contains 16S-23S intergenic spacer region
Rfam family: Bacterial small subunit ribosomal RNA
Source: RNAcentral
UACGGAGGGGGCUAGCGUUGUUCGGAAUUACUGGGCGUAAAGGGCGCGUAGGCGGACAUUUAAGUCAGGGGUGAAAUCCCAGAGCUCAACUCUGGAACUGCCUUUGAUACUGGAUGUCUUGAGUGUGAGAGAGGUAUGUGGAACUCCGAGUGUAGAGGUGAAAUUCGUAGAUAUUCGGAAGAACACCAGUGGCGAAGGCGACAUACUGGCUCAUUACUGACGCUGAGGCGCGAAAGCGUGGGGAGCGAACAGG